Molecule: ribosomal RNA, 1522 nt
Filed under: metagenome
Description: bacterial SSU rRNA
Rfam family: Bacterial small subunit ribosomal RNA
Source: RNAcentral
AGAGUUUGAUCAUGGCUCAGAUUGAACGCUGGCGGCAGGCCUAACACAUGCAAGUCGAACGGUAACAGGAAGAAGCUUGCUUCUUUGCUGACGAGUGGCGGACGGGUGAGUAAUGUCUGGGAAACUGCCUGAUGGAGGGGGAUAACUACUGGAAACGGUAGCUAAUACCGCAUAACGUCGCAAGACCAGAGAGGGGGACCUUCGGGCCUCUUGCCAUCGGAUGUGCCCAGAUGGGAUUAGCUAGUAGGUGGGGUAACGGCUCACCUAGGCGACGAUCCCUAGCUGGUCUGAGAGGAUGACCAGCCACACUGGAACUGAGACACGGUCCAGACUCCUACGGGAGGCAGCAGUGGGGAAUAUUGCACAAUGGGCGCAAGCCUGAUGCAGCCAUGCCGCGUGUAUGAAGAAGGCCUUCGGGUUGUAAAGUACUUUCAGCGGGGAGGAAGGGAGUAAAGUUAAUACCUUUGCUCAUUGACGUUACCCGCAGAAGAAGCACCGGCUAACUCCGUGCCAGCAGCCUCGGUAAUACGGAGGGUGCAAGCGUUAAUCGGAAUUACUGGGCGUAAAGCGCACGCAGGCGGUUUGUUAAGUCAGAUGUGAAAUCCCCGGGCUCAACCUGGGAACUGCAUCUGAUACUGGCAAGCUUGAGUCUCGUAGAGGGGGGUAGAAUUCCAGGUGUAGCGGUGAAAUGCGUAGAGAUCUGGAGGAAUACCGGUGGCGAAGGCGGCCCCCUGGACGAAGACUGACGCUCAGGUGCGAAAGCGUGGGGAGCAAACAGGAUUAGAUACCCUGGUAGUCCACGCCGUAAACGAUGUCGACUUGGAGGUUGUGCCCUUGAGGCGUGGCUUCCGGAGCUAACGCGUUAAGUCGACCGCCUGGGGAGUACGGCCGCAAGGUUAAAACUCAAAUGAAUUGACGGGGGCCCGCACAAGCGGUGGAGCAUGUGGUUUAAUUCGAUGCAACGCGAAGAACCUUACCUGGUCUUGACAUCCACGGAAGUUUUCAGAGAUGAGAAUGUGCCUUCGGGAACCGUGAGACAGGUGCUGCAUGGCUGUCGUCAGCUCGUGUUGUGAAAUGUUGGGUUAAGUCCCGCAACGAGCGCAACCCUUAUCCUUUGUUGCCAGCGGUCCGGCCGGGAACUCAAAGGAGACUGCCAGUGAUAAACUGGAGGAAGGUGGGGAUGACGUCAAGUCAUCAUGGCUCUUACGACCAGGGCUACACACGUGCUACAAUGGCGCAUACAAAGAGAAGCGACCUCGCGAGAGCAAGCGGACCUCAUAAAGUGCGUCGUAGUCCGGAUUGGAGUCUGCAACUCGACUCCAUGAAGUCGGAAUCGCUAGUAAUCGUGGAUCAGAAUGCCACGGUGAAUACGUUCCCGGGCCUUGUACACACCGCCCGUCACACCAUGGGAGUGGGUUGCAAAAGAAGUAGGUAGCUUAACCUUCGGGAGGGCGCUUACCACUUUGUGAUUCAUGACUGGGGUGAAGUCGUAACAAGGUAACCGUAGGGGAACCUGCGGUUG